This 439-nucleotide ribosomal RNA is filed under the name uncultured bacterium. RNAcentral describes it as "partial 16S ribosomal RNA". It matches the Rfam family "Bacterial small subunit ribosomal RNA", at positions 339 to 795 of the family's 1533-position model. The record is from RNAcentral.
CUACGGGGGGCUGCAGUGGGGAAUAUUGCACAAUGGAGGAAACUCUGAUGCAGCAACGCCGCGUGGAGGAUGACACUUUUCGGAGCGUAAACUCCUUUUAUAUAGGAAGAAGAUGACGGUACUAUAUGAAUAAGCGCCGGCUAACUCCGUGCCAGCAGCCGCGGUAAUACGGAGGGCGCAAGCGUUACUCGGAAUCACUGGGCGUAAAGAGCGUGUAGGCGGAUUAAAAAGUCAGAAGUGAAAUCCUAUAGCUUAACUAUAGAACUGCUUCUGAAACUCUUAAUCUAGAAUGUGGGAGAGGUAGAUGGAAUUUCUGGUGUAGGGGUAAGAUCCGUAGAGAUCAGAAGGAAUACCGAUUGCGAAGGGGAUCUACUAGAACAUUAUUGACGCUGAGACGCGAAAGCGUGGGGAGCAAACAGGAUUAGAUACCCGGGUAGUC